Molecule: long non-coding RNA, 2958 nt
Filed under: Homo sapiens (human)
Lineage: Eukaryota; Metazoa; Chordata; Mammalia; Primates; Hominidae
Description: HSALNT0286889
Source: RNAcentral
GGUGGGGACACAGCCAAACCGUAUCACUCCCUGAGUCUUAGCUUGACUGUGAAGUCAGAACCCAGAGGGCCUCCCUUAGGUACCUGUGUGUGCAACAAUAGCAUCAGUACCAAGAUUUCCCAUGCUUACCCUCACAAUUCUAGGUUUUAAUGUGGGAUCUGGGAAAAAAAGCAAAAGGAACUGUUUUCACACAUUAUGCCCAGCAUAGUGUUAAAAUUGCUAGCAACAGACUAACAACAGGUAAUAUUGAUGUGGUGCUUUAGGGUUUUUUAAGGGACUUUCUUCUACAUUGCCUUCUUGGGACUUCACAGCCAUUCUGCAAGCAUGUGUUAUUCCUCUCUUUUACAGAGGUGGGUAUGGAAACUCAGAGAGUGAAAUGAUUUGCUUAGGAUCACAUAGCCAGGAAGGGGAGAUUUUUGAAUUUCACCUUAGAUUGGUCUGAUUUCAAAAUCACUUAACACGUUUUCCCCUUAUAGGCCUUUUUUUUCUGCAGGAAAAUUGUUUAUGGGAGUUCCUAUUUCUCUUCUUUUCCCUUUCUUACCUCACCUGGCAUAGUAGUUUUGUCAGUGGUUGGGCCAGUGCAAAAUGACACUGCCAACAUGUGGGCAAAUUACUCCUUAGGGGCAUUACCCGAGAGCUGCUGGGGAAGGAAGUAAUUGGUGUGGAUUGGAAAUGGUGUCCAAGUGAAGCAAUAGAGUCUGGGCUCAAACUCAAAGGACUAACUGGGGAUUUAUGGGCCAGUCCCCAGAUACUGCGAUGCUCAGCAAGGCAGAUUGCCCACCAGGAUGACUGUCUUGCACUGAACAUUCUCCCCUUGUGUGAGUGGGGAGGGGAGAUGUCUAGAUCUGCCCUGUCCAGUAAGUUAAGCCACCAGUCACAUGUAGACAUUUAAAUUUAAAUUUCGAUUACUUCCAAUUAAAUAAAAUUGAAAAUUCAGUUUCUCAGUUGCACUAGGCACAAGUGUUCAAUAGCCAUAUGAUCACCAUAUUGAUUAGUGCAGAUCUAGAAGAUUUCCAUCAUUGCAGAAAGUUCUGUUGGACAGCACUGAUCUAGAAUAGAACAGUGAGAGUGUCCAUCUUAUGUGUUGGUAAUUCUCACUCAGCAGACUUAGGAGAGGUGUACUCCCUUUUCUACACGUGGAACAUAAACUUUUCAAGCCCUAGGUGAUGGGUUCACUCUGUGUUGUAUCCACCUCCCCUAAUGUAGGGUACCCAGAAGUUGAGAGUUUGCAAAGACCCACACAUCAUGAGGUUUGUCCAGCCUCCGUGCGUAUUCACCCCGUACCUCCUCCCCACACCACCUUAUGUAUACUACUUUGCAACUAGGUAGUCAGUGCCUUAGGGAAGAAUUGUUUCUUCUUCUCUUCUCAGCUUUGGCUAUUUUCCUUGAAAGUGGAGACAGAUCAUCUCUUUCAGAGGAAGCAGCAAUCUGUCCCUUUGUUGCCAAAAUAGAAGAAAGUCCAUCUUUAGGGGUCUUGAAACUGGAGUAGAAAUAUAAGAAUUUCCACUUGAAUUAUAUUUCUCUUUAGCCUACCUUUCCUCACUUUAAUUAAACAAGAUAAUUUCUUAGUAAAUUAUAUACUUAACCAAUAUGAGACUAACCCCCCAACCUUCAAAUCAGUUCUCAUUGUAUUUGCAGCUUUUGGGGAGAAGGUUGUAAGGAUCUUUAGAAUUGGUGGUCCCGGAGAUCUUUCAAGUUUAGGAGGAGAAGGUCAUAAGCACCUUUUGAAUUACCUAAGAUUUUAGGAUGUAUCUUGUGUUUGUUUGCAAUGCCAAUAAGUACCUUUUUAUGUAGAAUAGCGUACUAAUACUAAGAAUUAAAGCCUCUUAUUAACGGCAGGACAUAUUAAAACAAUCACUAGUCAUUGUUAAAAUAAAGAACAGCUCAUUAUUUUUCAUAUCUUAAAGAUUGAACCCUUCACCAUGAUUAAUAAAGGAUAGUUGUUAUCUGCUUUGGUAACGAAAAUUCAUGUACAAAAGAAACACUUUGCCAAAUUAAAAGUAAAAUGGUAGCAAGAACACUUGUAUCUGCACUGCUAAUUAAAAGACUUAACUUAUUAGACCUUAAGCGGGGAGGAAAAAAGAAACAAACAAGUAUAAUUUGCCAGAUUAAUUUUAUGGUCUGUUCUAUUUAAUCAAACUAUACCUUUUAGUGAAAAUGACAAAUCUGAGUUGUCAGAAGGUGGUAGAUAAGGAAGAUAAAGGUCAUAUAUUUUAAUGUCACAGAAGGUCUUAUUAAAGGAACCUUAAUUACAUUAGGUACCCAUGAAACAUUAAUUAAAUACUGUCUGAAAUAAUUAGAUCCACGUUACUGAUGGUUUAAUUAAACUCAGUUUCUUUUUUUGUAAGAAAACUAAAGGUCCAGUAUCUCUGUCGGCAGCAUAAUUGAUAAUAUGUCAAAAAGGCAAAAUAGUAACCUUGACCAACCACAGACAGAGGGUAAUAUGGCUCUCAGGGCCUUCUGUGCAUUAACUUCAUUGUCUAUGGUGGCCGGUGUCUCCAAGAAGACCUCAUGAUGUGUGUGCCUUUGCAAACUGUCAGCUUCUGGGGGUCCUAGCAUAGGAGAGGUGAAUACAAAACAGUGAAUCCAUCCUGUGGGGCUUAAAAAGUAUAUGCUCCACAUGAAGAAAGGUGGUAUGCUUAAUACAUGCACCUUUUCAUUCUAGAAAUGCAUCCUGCCUUUUGUCAUCUCUGCUUAUUGUAUCUCAGAAAUGCCAGCACCCUUUCUGACCACUCAGUCUGCCCAGAGAGUAUCAUGGCAUUGAACUCCUUUCCCGUAUUUGUUUAUUAUCUCUGUGCUCCAACAUUUAUUUUCUUUUUUACUUGUAUAUCUUUGAAGUUAAAAGCAUGGGCUUUGGAAUCAGAUUGCAGGGUUUGAAUCUCAACUCUGCCACAGCUGUGUAACCUUGGGUGAAAAGUACAUGGUAAGCCCUACAAGAAUGACACAGAACAUUCCGUG